UAACCACGUGCCAGAAGCCUCGGUAAUACGUGGGGUGCAAGCGUUAUCCGGAAUCACUGGGCGUAAAGCGUCCGUCGGCGGUUUGGUAAGUUGACUGUUUAAGCCUAGGGCUCAACUCUAGAUCGGCAGUCAAAACUACCUAACUUGAAUUAGUUCGGGGUAGCCGGAAUUCUUGGUGGAGGGGUGAAAUCCGUAGAUAUCAAGAGGAACGCCAGUCGCGAAGGCGAGCUACUAGAACUUAAUUGACGCUCAGGGACGAAAGCUUGGGUAGCAAAGCGGAUUAGAGACCCGUGUAGUCCAAGCCGUAAAUGCUGGAUGCUAGCUUCCUGUACUUUUAGUAUGGGGGGCGUAAGUUAACGCGUUAAGCAUCCCGCCUGGGGAGUACGGCCGCAAGGCUAAAACUCAAAGGAAUUGACGGGGGAGCGCACAACCGGUGGAGCAUGUGGUUUAAUUCGAUACAAAGCGAAAAACCUUACCUGGGUUUGACAUCUAGCUGCAUGCUUUACGAAAGUAAAGCAGCCUUCGAGGGUGCUAGACAGGUGAUGCAUGGCUGUCGUCAGCUCGUGUCGUGAGACGUCCGCUUAAGUGCGGUAACGAGCGCAACCCUUGUCCUGUGUUAUACAUGUCACAGGAGACUGCCCUUGUAUCUCAAGGGAGGAAGGAGAGGACGACGUCAAGUCAGCAUGUCCCUUACAUCCAGGGCUACACACAUCCUACAAUGGGAUCGACAAUGAGUAGCGAAGGAGUGAUCCUAAGCCAAUCUCGCAAACGAUCUCUCAGUUCGGAUUGGAGGCUGCAAUUCGCCUCCAGAAGCCGGAAUCG
RNAcentral lists this ribosomal RNA (822 nucleotides) under uncultured organism. RNAcentral's name for it is "bacterial SSU rRNA". It matches the Rfam family "Bacterial small subunit ribosomal RNA", at positions 498 to 1334 of the family's 1533-position model. The record is from RNAcentral.